This 218-nucleotide ribosomal RNA is filed under the name uncultured prokaryote. Its description in RNAcentral is "partial 16S ribosomal RNA". It matches the Rfam family "Bacterial small subunit ribosomal RNA", at positions 565 to 774 of the family's 1533-position model. The record is from RNAcentral.
CCCUACGGGGUGCAGCAGGCGGAAACGCCAGUAUUUUGUGAAAACCCCCGGCUUAACCGGGGAAUUGCUCGGUAAACUGCGUUUCUUGAGGCAAGCAGGGGUGUGUGGAACUCUUGGUGGAGCGGUGGAAUGCGUAGAUAUCAAGAGGAACGCCGCAGGUGAAGACAGCACACUGGGCUUGUCCUGACGCUCAGGCACGAAAGCGUGGGGAGCAAACA